This 468-nucleotide ribosomal RNA is filed under the name uncultured bacterium. RNAcentral's name for it is "partial 16S ribosomal RNA". It matches the Rfam family "Bacterial small subunit ribosomal RNA", at positions 28 to 507 of the family's 1533-position model. The record is from RNAcentral.
GACGAACGCUGGCGGCGUGCUUAACACAUGCAAGUCGAACGGAAAGGCCCUGCUUUUGUGGGGUGCUCGAGUGGCGAACGGGUGAGUAACACGUGAGUAACCUGCCCUUGACUUUGGGAUAACUUCAGGGAACUGGGGCUAAUACCGGAUAGGAGCUCCUGCUGCAUGGUGGGGGUUGGAAAGUUUCGGCGGUUGUGGAUGGACUCGCGGCUUAUCAGCUUGUUGGUGGGGUAGUGGCUUACCAAGGCUUUGACGGGUAGCCGGCCUGAGAGGGUGACCGGCCACAUGGGGACUGAGAUACGGCGCAGACUCCUACGGGAGGCAGUAGUGGGGAAUAUUGCACAAUGGGCGGAAGCCUGAUGCAGCAACGCCGCGUGCGGGAUGACGGCCUUCGGGUUGUAAACCGCUUUCGCCUGUGACGAAGCGUGAGUGACGGUAAUGGGUAAAGAAGCACCGGCUAACUACGUG